GGUAUUUUGACUCUUUUCAUGCAACCAUUUUACCACCAAUCUUUAAAUUUAAACAAACAAAAAAAUUAUUGGUGAUUUUUUGGGACACACAUAGCAGUUUAAGAAUACAUCUACGGAGAACUGUAAGGGUUACUGCCAAAGAACACCCCAAUAUGUGUUCAGCAACAUCUCCUGAGUACGGUGAUACCACCUAUGUAUAGGUGUGUUGGGUUCUCUGGGGGCUAAAAGACCUUAUUUCGAGAGUGUGCAUUCCAGUUUUCCAACUUGGAAUUUUCACAGCUAGUCAUCAUGCAUCCAUGUCCUAUUUGGGACAUUUUUGAAGCCGGCCAAUGUAAUUUACCCCCAUCAAACCAUAUAUUUUUUUUAAACGUAGACACCCUAGGGUAUUUCAAAUGGUGGUAUUUUAACACUUUCCAUGCACUAAUUAUA
Molecule: non-coding RNA, 429 nt
Organism: Pelobates cultripes (western spadefoot toad)
Lineage: Eukaryota; Metazoa; Chordata; Amphibia; Anura; Pelobatidae
Source: the annotation of a GenBank genome assembly